UCCAAGGAUACCUUUGCUGCAAGAGCACUUGCAGCAACAACAGAUGGUCCCUCCUGUGCACAGAAACUUUACCAGGAACACAGAUGCCUCCUUGAAUGAUUUAGCUCAUCAUGGGCAGAAAUUAAAGCCUUUGGACAGCUAUAGUGUCAAACAGGGAGUUAUAAUGGGAACAUGAAAUCAUUCUGGAAAGAAGAAACAGCUCCUGGAGGAAGGGAAGAAGCAAAUUGAGAGAAGAAGGAAAAACCUUACCACAAUGAAAGGCAAUCCAUUUGCAAAGAGGUAAAUACCUCACUUGGGAAGAAGAAUAACAAGAGGCUGGCCCAGGAAGCAAGACUUUCUUAAUGAACAGGAUUAUACCUGUCUGAACUAUUCCCAUGUAAAACAAGUAUUUUCUGAACUUCAGAUGAGGAAAACAUCAGAGACAUCCCACAGGAAAAAGUAUUUUGGUGAAAGCUGCUUCUCGCUCAAGUACUGGGACAUUUGAAGGUCUGAAAAAGCCUUGAAACAGAAGAAGCUGGAACAGAUUUCCAAGGGUUAUCUCCCAGAAAUCAUGAUGCUUUUUAAUCCUGAUUUCUACUACAGUCCUCUUGAAACAUCUCAUUCUUCAUUCCUGUCCUCAGUUUCUGGCCGGAUGAUUGAUUUUGUCAUCAAAGAAGCUGGAUCACUGAGAUGAGUUUGGCUCAAGGUCUCACAGAGAGGUUGCUGUAACUCCGUGAAAGAUUCUACAACCAAACCAAACCAAAACAGCCAUCUCUAAAUUUUAAUACAAUUUCAAUAGAAAAAUAGACACAACUUCUCUCAGUAAAGUGCCUCUCACAUCCUGUAGGAUGAGGGACUGAGUUGCACUAAAUGUAUUUACAAGGCAUAUAAUUAAAAUAUUUGGCACUUACACAGAGAAGGUGUUCAAAUGACCAAAAUUUCAAAGACUAGGAAUGCAAAUCCAGUUUAAAAUACCUACUCUAAAGACAGACCUGAUUUUCUAACCCACUUAUCCAUCACUUCUUCCAAACACCUUUGGUGAGACCAACCCAUUUAAAAAAGUCAGGAUACUCUUCUAAAGCAAGCUUUCAGGUAGAUUUACGAUCACAGAUUUUGUUUUGAAAACCAUCUAGUCUUGGCUGUAUCCGUGCUCAGCUUUAGCUCCAUCAAUUGUUUUGUUUCAAAUAACACAAGGUACAGUAGCACUUACACUGGCUGACAAAUUUAGUCAUAGAACUGUAAUGACAUAAUCUGAGAAUGUGUCUAACAUUUAGUGUAAGUACUAUACAUGUCUUCCAGAUGGUUUCCCUAAGCCAGGAGGGGAGCUAGCGUGGGUAGUAAAACCUUUGGAUGGGUUUUAUUAUGCUUGAGAAGCAACCAGCAUGAAAAUGAAGGAAAGUACCAGUUAUGGCUCAUACUCUGCCAGCAGCCCAGUGACUCCUUCCAGCUCCACCCAGCAUCACCGGACUUUCAGCUAAUGGUUCCAAACUUUGUGAAAUUCUGUCACUGUAGGUGAACAAUGGAUCACAGUCACCACUGGGCAUCAGAGACUCAGCUGUCAUAAGGACUGCACUUCUCUAAGUGUUGUAUCUCUGCUAUAGAGUUUUAAAAAUGCUAAGUUUUCUAGUAGCAUGACCACAAUUGCUGGAUAUCUUUGGAGAUUUAAUUUUUUGAUGGUAAUAGAUGGUAACAGAGAAGAAUAACGAGAGUCUCAACAAGUAAAGAAAUAUUUUUUUUCAAAUUGAUUUGAAACGGAUCUACACCAGCUUCUGACUUGUUAGCCAUUAGUUCUGCACUCUUAGAGAUGUCUGCAGAAAACUAUUUUGAUGACAACCGAGAGUGUUUGCAGGCUUGUGGAACAAAAUGAUAUAAUUUAGAAAUUUUCUGUGAGAUAAUAAUGACGUUCUAAUUGAAAAAUGUACUCUAAUUACCCUACAUCUUUAUAAGCCCGCCUCAGGAGCACAGUAAAAGAACAAGUGGCAAUAUUUUUACUGUACUAUAUGAGAAAAGGCUCUCAAACUUUUAUUUGUAUCACUUGAUGCAUGUUCAGGAGGUGGAAGUCUCAUAAAAGCAAAAUAAUUUCC
Long non-coding RNA from Pipra filicauda (Wire-tailed manakin), 2063 nucleotides. RefSeq lists it as uncharacterized. The record is from RefSeq and is a predicted model, not a curated record. The transcript has 2 exons. NCBI's taxonomy places the organism in Eukaryota, Metazoa, Chordata, Aves, Passeriformes, Pipridae.